GAUGAACGCUGGCGGCGUGCCUAAUACAUGCAAGUCGAGCGAACAGACGAGGAGCUUGCUCCUCUGACGUUAGCGGCGGACGGGUGAGUAACACGUGGAUAACCUACCUAUAAGACUGGGAUAACUUCGGGAAACCGGAGCUAAUACCGGAUAAUAUAUUGAACCGCAUGGUUCAAUAGUGAAAGACGGUUUUGCUGUCACUUAUAGAUGGAUCCGCGCCGCAUUAGCUAGUUGGUAAGGUAACGGCUUACCAAGGCAACGAUGCGUAGCCGACCUGAGAGGGUGAUCGGCCACACUGGAACUGAGACACGGGCCAGACUCCUACGGAAGGCAGCAGUAGGGAAUCUUCCGCAAUGGGCGAAAGCUUGACGGAGCAACGCGGCGUGAGUGAUGAAGGUCUUCGGAUCGUAAAACUCUGUUAUUAGGAAAGAACAAAUGUGUAAGUAACUAUGCACGUCUUGACGGUACCUAAUCAGAAAGCCGCGCUAACUACGUG
RNAcentral lists this ribosomal RNA (496 nucleotides) under uncultured bacterium. RNAcentral describes it as "partial 16S ribosomal RNA". It matches the Rfam family "Bacterial small subunit ribosomal RNA", at positions 28 to 507 of the family's 1533-position model. The record is from RNAcentral.